GACCCAAUUCUUUCCAAACUU
Molecule: unclassified non-coding RNA, 21 nt
Filed under: Dictyostelium discoideum
Lineage: Eukaryota; Evosea; Eumycetozoa; Dictyosteliales; Dictyosteliaceae
Source: RNAcentral